Molecule: long non-coding RNA, 597 nt
Organism: Sander lucioperca (pikeperch)
Lineage: Eukaryota; Metazoa; Chordata; Actinopteri; Perciformes; Percidae
Exons: 2
Source: RefSeq, a predicted model, not a curated record
AAUAAUAAUCUGAGCCUGUCAGCGGCAAAAACAACAUUUCAUGGUUUACCGUUACAUUGCAGCUUGUCUUGCUUAAUACCGUGCCAAUCUCAAAGAUGUUGUUCCCAUCAGUCACUUAGACACUAAACAUUGGAAAAUAUGGUCCAUAUUGAAAAACAAAAACAAACUAACUAACCCUUCGGCUGUAGCGCGGUUACUGUACUUAAUCUGAGCUGGAAGCCGACCAACCUAGAGACAACACGGUGAUCAUAAAAGAAAAGGAGUGCAGAAAGAAAAACACAUCUGGGCUCUACCCUAUUCCCCCCCAAACACUUUAUAACUAAAUGGCAGUUGUUGUUUUUAAACUAGAGCAGCUUCUACUUUAUUUUAAUUAGUGAAUUUAGUCGCAGAUGUGGCACAAACACACACACACACACACACACACACACACUGUGGCUGAGGGGUUUAAGCUCCAAAUAUACAGUUUUUAAACCAAAAUAUUCAAAUGUGAACAACCCUCAGCCAUCUCUCCGUCUCUUUAAAAACACACCGUGGACAUCAGUCAGCAGCUGUUCGGGCUCUUAUUUUGGCGGGUGUCAGUUUUUAGGUACAAGGCAC